CGGGCAUGGUGGCGGGCGCCUGUAGUCCCAGCUACUCAGGACGCUGAGGCAGAGAACUGCUUGAACCCGGGAGACGGAGGUUGCAGUGAGCCGAGAUCGUGCCACUGCACUCCAGCCUGGGGGACAGAAUGAGACUCUGUCUCAGAGAAAAAACAAAAACAAAAACAAAGGCAAAUUCUUGCACCACCCCAGACCUACUAAAUUAGAAACUUUGGGGAUUAGGCCCAAUGAUGCACAUUUUCACAAGUCCUCCAGGGGAUCCUGAUGCAUGUGAAAAUUUAAGAACCACUGCUUUAAGGUAGAUAGAUGGGAUGUUUUCCAUUUUAAAGUGAAUCCCUCUAAUUUUUUUCUGAAGUUUUUGAUAUCUUCUAUACUUGUCUGUGGUGAGUACCAAUAAGCAGGAAAAUGAGAGAAGAGAACAUUUGCAGGAUAGCACAGUUGUGAGUAAGAGGGCAGUUUCCCCUGGCUGAGACCCUGGUGAAAUUCCUUUACCUCUUUUUUUUUUUUUUGAGAUGGAGUCUUGCUCUGUCGCCAGGCUGGAGUGCAGUGGCGCGAUCUCGGCUCUCUGCAACCUCUGCCUCCCAGGUUCAAAUGAUUCCCCUGCCUCAGCCUCCCAAGUAGCUGGGAUUACAGGCUUGUGCCACCAUGUCCAGCUAAUUUUUUGUAUUUUAGUAGAGAUGGGGUUUCACCAUGUUGGCCAGGAUGGUCUCGAUCUCCUGACCUCGUGAUCUGCCUGUCUUGGCCUCCCAAAGUGCUGGGAUUACAGGCAUGAGCCACCACACCUGGCCUCCUUUACCUCUUAAGCUUGUCUUCUUUAUAAGAAGGGAAAAAAUGGCCAGGCAUGGUGGCUCACACCUAUAAUCCCAGCACUUUGGGAGGCUGAGAUGGGAAGAGUGCUUGAGGCCAGGAAUUCAAGACUAGCCUGGGCAACAUAGUGAGACCCUCUCUAAAAAAAAAAAAAAAACUUUGUUUAAAGAAGGGAGAAAAUCAGUACUUACAAGAUUAUCACAAGGAUCAAAUGAGACGCUGCCUGGCACACACAGUGUUUACUCAUUAUGCUGAUUAUUAUUACCACUGCAGAACUCAGGAGCUGAUUACUUUAUGGAAUUAGCUCAACAGCUAGCUAGGAUUUUCCAAGGUUAUAAUUUUAUACUGCAUGCAUAUAGUAACUGUACAAUAGUCUUGUUUUUAAGAAUUCACAUGUCCCAAAGCUCUGCAGAGCCACGGAGCUGAGACUGACUUUACGGCCUCUUCUAAGCCUUACUCUAAGGUAAGCCCUGUUCAGAGACUUGCCUUGAUGGUCUCAGGCAUCAAGAUGCUGACAUCUUGUAAACCAGGUGCUCAACACCUGAGGAAAAACCUCCAGUCUUGCAGCAAGUGAAUGGAGUGGCACAGCAACUGGUCCUUGCGGAAGGAUGAGGCUGACAGGACACAGAAGGGGCACUUCUCUUCAGCUCCCCCUCUCGGCUGCAGCUCUCCCUAUGGGUCUAUAGCAGGAGAGCCUGAUGUUUUCCAGUAGACCUUGGUGGGUACGAGACCUAAAUCAUGGGCUCCAAAGGCCAUCUUGAAUCAAAACUACCAGCAUAUUUUUUUUUUCUGAGACAGAGUCUCGCUCUGUCACCCAGGCUGGAGUGCAGUGGUGCCAUCUCGGCUCACUGCAAUCUUCGCCUCCUGGGUUCACACCAUUCUCCUGCCUCAGCCUCCCAAGUAGCUGGGACUACAGGCGCCCGCCACCACACCUGGCUAAUUUUUUUUUUUACUUUUAGUAGAGACGGGGUUUCACCAUGUUAGCCAGGAUGGUCUCGAUCUCCUGACUUCAUGAUCUGCCCACCUUGGCCUCCAAAGUGCUGGGAUUACAGGUGUGAGCCACUGCGCCUGGCCAAUACCAGCAUAGUUUAGCUGCUAUCCCAACUUCCAUUACCUCUUCAAUAGAAUGCAAGCUCCAAGGUGCCUGCAAGUUUUUAUUCCUUCCUGUGUCCCUGUAAACAGUGCCUGCCACUUACAGGGUGACUGAAUGGGUGAAUAUUUACUAAACCAAUAGUUACAUAAUUAGAAGAAACAAAAGGUACUCUUUGCCAAGAAGAGAAGACUAAGAAAAACUUGAAAGAAGUGUGGGGCUUCCUUCAGCUGGAGCCUCUUUCCAAGUUGUAUGGUGUGUGGAAUUCUUACUGUGAUGUGGGAGAGGCCAGCCUGGGGUCACUUACGGAUGAGUCUGAAGGCACAGUCAAUAUACAGGAGUCAGCUGAAGCUGGGGAAAUGGCACAGUUGUUGCAAUCCUCGUCUCUCAUUUGCUUCUUGGUAAAUCCCAGCUCCUUUCAAGCUGAAACUAAGCCCUCUCUAGGCUCCUUGCCCACAGACUGGGCCAGUCUGACAGGUGCUUCAGUGGUAUGAGGGGUGGGGUGGGGAAGGAGAUGCACUGUCACCUUUAGGCAAGGGGCUGAAUGCAUCCAGGUGAGUUCUGUGACAUUCUGAAUGUGCCAGAGCAGGCAGUUUGAGAGGAACAGACUGAGGAAAUACUUGUUUACAUAAAGUUACUAAGGCAGGAAUACCCACUCUCCUGUGUGCCAAGCAAGCCAGUGGGCAGCAACCCUCCCUGAACAUGAAUGCCCUCAGGGCCUUUACUCACACUGCUCCCUCCAGUGUCCUUUAUUGGACAUCACUGGCCAUCUCCACCUGCCCAGAAUCCACAGUAUCACCGCUCCUACUCUGCACCACGCCCAGUCCUGCCCAAGCAGAGGGGCUUCCUCUAGUGCUCAAUGUUCACCCGGAGAGGGCCUCAGUGGGUAACUAUUAGUGUGGGCCACCAAAGUUGUAACCUUGAGGGGUUUUACAAGGCCAGAGACCUUGCCUAGUAUAUAGAAUUGGCAGGUAUUUACAAAUUUUGUAAAAAUUAUCUCUCCCGCCAAACUUCUACCAGUACUCUAACCAAAAAGCUUUCUAUUUCUGGGUUUAUUACAAUUGCUAAAAGCGGUUAUAAUCUUCAUUAUUCUUUGGAAGGAUCUGAGAAGCAUGAAAAGGCACUGGCCCAGGCCUGAGUUCUAAUGGUGAUCAUCUCACAAGCCAGGGACUUCUCCCCUUCCUGGGCCUCAGUAACUGCUUGUUAUAAAAACAAGGGGUGUCUUUUAGCUCCAUUAGGUUAGGAUACCAUUUUGAGAGAAUACACAUGACGACUUAAGUGAAGUUUACUAAAGAAAAAUUAUUCUCCAGAAAUCAGCAGUACUUUGCAGACAUGCUGAGAAUACAUAAUCAUUAGGCAUUAGGGCAGUAUGGCAGUAUUUUAGCCAAACUCCUUUCACGUAAUUAAAAAAACUCACUUCAGACUGGUUUCAAAAAAUCAAAAAACAGACCGGGUACCAUGGCUUACGCCUGUAAUCCCAGCACUUUGGGAGGCCGAGACAGGGUGAUCACCUGAGGUUGGGAGUUCGAGACCAGCCUGACCAACAUGGAGAAACCCCGUCUCUACUAAAAAUACAAAAUUAGCCAGGUGUGGUGGCGCAUGCCUGUAAUCCCAGUUACUCAGGAGGCUGAGGCAGCAGAAUCACUUGAACCUGGGAGGUGGAGGUUGUGGUGAGCCGAGAUCGUGCCAUUGCACUCCAGCCUGGGCAACAAGAGCGAAACUCCAUCUCAAAAAAAAAAAAUCAAAAAUCAUUAUAAGGAUAACUGACAGAUUAAUGUAGUCCAAUGCAAGGAUGCAGGAAUAGAUGCAGAAACCAAGGAUGUCUUCAGGGUUAUCAAGGUACCUGCUAUCUCAGGCCCACAUGCUUCUGUUUGUCCAUGCAGUGCUGGCUCCUGAUUUUGUAAGUGCCACAUCCAAGCACCAUUCCAGAUGGUGAACAGUAUCUCUCCUUCCCCAUGCAAAAUUCUUUUUUUUUUUUUUUUGAGAAAGAGUCUUGCUCUGGAGUGCAGUGGCACGAUCUUGGCUUACUGCAACCUCUGCCUCCCCGGUUCAAGCAUUUCUCCCUGCCUCAGCCUCCCCAGGUGCCCGCCACCACACCUGGCUAAUUUUUGUAUUUUUUUUAGUAAGAGACAGGGUUUCGCCAUAUUGGCCGGACUGGUCUUGAACUCCUGACCUCAGGUAAUCCGCCCACUUUGGUCUCCCAAAGUGCUGGGACUACAGGCAUGUGCCACCGCACCCGGCCAAAAUUCUUUUUUUUUUUGAGACGGAGUCUCACUCUGUCGCCCAGACUGUAGUGCAGUGGCACGAUCUUGGCUUACUGCAAGCUCCGCCUCCUGGGUUCACAUCCUUCCUCUGCCUCAGCCUCCCUAGUAGCUGGGACUACAGGUGCCCACCACCACACCCGGCUAAUGUUUUGUAUUUUUAGUAGAGACAGGGUUUCACCAUGUUAGCCAGGACAAUCUCGAUCUCCUGACCUCGUGAUCUGCCUGCCUUGGCCUCCCAAAGUGCUGGGAUUACAGGCGUGAACCACUGCGCCUGGCCAAAUUCUUUUUUUUUUGAGACAGAGUCUUGCUCUGUUGCCCAGGCUGGAGUGCAGAGAUGUGAUCUUGGCUCACUGCAAUCUCUGCUUCCUGGGUUCAAGUGAUUCUCCUGCCCCAGCCUCCCGAGGAGCUAGGAUUAUAGGUGCCCAUCACCACAUCUGGCUAACUUUUGUCUUUUUAGUAGAGAUGGAGUUUCACCAUGUUGUCCAGGCUGGUCUCGAACUCCUGUCCUCAAGUGAUCUGCCCAUCUUGGGCCUUCCAAAAUGCUGUAAUUACAGGCGUGAGCCACUGCACCUAGCCCAAAAUUCUUUUUCUUAUUUUUAUUUUUGGAGACAGAGUCUCCCUCUGUCACCCAGGCUGGAAUGCAGUGACACGGUCUCGGCUCAUUGCACAACCUCCGCCUCCAGGUUCAAGCGAUUCCCCUGUCUCAGCCACCCACGUAGCUGGGAUUACAGGCGUGCGCCACCAUGCCCAGCUAAUUUUUGUAUUUUUAGUAAAGACAGGGUUUCACCAUGUUGGCCAGGCUGGCCUCGAACCCCUGACCUCAAGUGAUCCGCCUGUCUCGGCCUCCCAAAGUGUUGCAAUUACAGGCAUGAGCCACCGUGCCCGGCCCCAAAAUUCUUAACAUUAAGAACUGUCUUGGGCCUGUCUGGAUCAGGAGUUCAACCCAGGUCCAAUCAACUGGUGUGUGGGCAAGAGGGAGGAGAGGGCGAGAGAAAAGGUCACUGUGUAGAAACAUAAACCCCACUCCUGAAGUCAGGCAGGUACCCAAACACUGUCACUGGAGAGAGGUCAGUCACUUCAUCAGGUGCUUAGCUCUCAGUACUUAAAUAAAACAGCAAAGAAGUUUGUACUUUGUUACAAUUCAGAAUGACCUUCCCCUCCAAAUUCCUACUGAACUAGUCAAACCUCCAGUACUGUAAACUACUUACAUUUCGAAAAGCUCUACUGAAUGUUGAAAUCCAAGUAGAAAAAGUUAUAAAAAGUUACUCCCUGUUUUAUUGCUGUUCACUGGAUUUGGCUGACAUUUGCUUUUUACUUUCAUCAAAUCUUACCGAAUGAUGAAGACACAUCAAGUUACAAAGGUACCACUUUCUCUCUAAUAUCUUUUCUUUUUAAACAAUUUGUGUCAAUGUCAACAACAUGAUAAAGAUGAAGGGUGUUCAACUGAUUAUUUGAACCCAUAAAAACUCCACCAGGGAAUCUUAUUUUGUGGGCACAAUGCACAGAGCCUGGAACAUGGUGGGUGCUCAAUGUUGGAGGAAUCAAAUUCCAACUUUAAAAUGAGUACAAGGACCUACUU
This 5740-nucleotide long non-coding RNA is filed under the name Homo sapiens (human). RNAcentral's name for it is "HSALNT0388957". Lineage: Eukaryota; Metazoa; Chordata; Mammalia; Primates; Hominidae. The record is from RNAcentral.